This is a ribosomal RNA of 1800 nucleotides. It matches the Rfam family "Eukaryotic small subunit ribosomal RNA". The record is from Rfam.
UACCUAGUUAAUUCUGCUAGUAGUCAUAUGCUUAUCUUAAAGAUUAAGCUAUGCAUAUCUAAGUAUAAGCAAUUAUACUGUAAAACUGCAAAUAGCUUAUUAAAUUAGUUAUUAUUUAUUUAAUAGUACCUUACUACUUAGAUAACUAUAGUAAUUCUAGAGCUAAUAUAUGCUAAAAACCCUAACUUUAGGAGAAGUAUAUUUAUUAGAUAAAAAACUAACGCCCUUUAGAGCUUCUUAGUAAUUUAUAAUAACUUUACAGAUCAUAUAGCUUUACGCCGGCAAUAGUUUAUUUAAAUUUCUGCCCUAUUAACUUUCGAUAGUAAGGUAUUAGCUUACUAUAGUUUUAAUAGGUAACGGGGAAUUAGAGUUUGAUUCUAGAGAGAGAGCCUAAGAAACAGCUACUAUAUCUAAGAAAGGCAGCAGGCGCGCAAAUUAUCUAAUCCCAACACAGAGAGGUAGUGAUAAUAAAUACUAAUACAGAGCUCUUUUAGGUCUUAUAAUUAGAAUAAGUACAAUUUAAACCUCUUAACAAGGAAUAAUUAGAGAGCAAGUCUAGUACUAGCAGCUGCAGUAAUUCCAGCUCCAAUAGCGUAUAUUAAAGUUGUUGCAGUUAAAAAGCUCGUAGUUAAACCUUAGGUCUAGCUAGUAAGUCUGCCUUACUGCGUAUACUUAUCUAGCUAGGCCUUCCUUCUAGAGAACCUUAUGCCCUUUACUAGGCGUGUUAGAGACUAGGACUUUUACUUUAAAAAAAUUAGAGUGUUUAAAGCAGGCCUUUGCUCAAAUACGUUAGGCAUAGAAUAAUAGAAUAGAACGUGCAGUUCUAUUUUGUUAGUUUCUAGAACUGCUAUAAUAAUUAAUAGGGGACAGUUAGAGGCAUUAGUAUUUAAUUAUUAGAGGUAAAAUUCUUGAAUUUAUUAAAGACUAACUACUGCGAAAGCAUUUGCUAAGAAUAUUUUCAUUAAUUAGUAAACGAAAGUUAGAAGAUCGAAGACGAUUAGAUACUAUUAUAGUCUUAACUAUAAACUAUGCUAACUAGAGAUUAGGCCAAUAUUCUUUUUCUAACUUGGCUCAGCACCUUACGAGAAAUCAAAGUUUUAGGUCUAGAGGGAGUAUAGUCGUAAGGCUGAAACUUAAAGAAAUUAACAGAAGAGCACUACUAGGCGUAGAGCCUGCAGCUUAAUUUAACUUAAUACGGAGAAACUUACUAGGUCUAGAUAAAAUAAGGAUUAACAGAUUAAGAGCUCUUUCUUAAUUUUUUAGGUAGUAGUGCAUAGCCGUUCUUAGUUAGUAGAGUGAUUUAUCUGCUUAAUUGCAAUAACGAAUAAGACCUUAACCUGCUAAAUAGCUAGGCUAGCUUUAGCUAGUCGCUAGCUUCUUAGAGAGACUAUUAGCUUAAGCUAAUAGAAGUUUAAGGCAAUAAUAGGUCUGUAAUGCCCUUAGAUAUUCUAGGCCGCACGCGCGCUAUACUAACAGAGCUAACGAGUUCUUUACCUUAGCUAAAAGGUCUAGGUAAUCUUAUUAAACUCUAUCGUGCUAGAGAUAGAGCAUUGCAAUUAUUGCUCUUUAAUAAGGAAUGCCUAGUAAGCGCAUAUUAUUAGCAUGCGUUAAUUACGUCUCUACUCUUUAUACACACUGCCUAUCGCUACUACUAAUUAAAUAGCUUAGUAAGGCCUUUAGACUAGCUUAGAGAGAUUAGCAAUAACUACCUUAAGCCGGAAAGUUCGUUAAACUUAGUUAUUUAGAGGAAGUAAAAGUCAUAACAAGGUUUCUGUAGGUAAACCUGCAGAAGGAUCAUUA